AGCAGCCGCGGUAAUUCCAGCUCCAAUAGCGUAUAUUAAAGUUGUUGCAGUUAAAAAGCUCGUAGUUGAAUUUCGGGACCAAUAUGUCUGUCGUGCCUUCGGUACGUACGGGUAUAAUUGGUUUCUACCUUCUGAUGAACCUUGAUGCCAUUAAUUUGGUGUCUUGGGGACUCAGGACUGUUACCUUGAAAAAAUUAGAGUGUUUAAAGCAGGCAUAUGCUUGAAUACAUUAGCAUGGAAUAAUGAAAUAGGACGUUCGAUUCUAUUUUGUUGGUUUCUAGGAUCGACGUAAUGAUUAAUAGGGAUAGUUGGGGGCAUUAGUAUUCAAUUGUCAGAGGUGAAAUCCUUGGAUUUAUUGAAGACUAACUACUGCGAAAGCAUUUGCCAAGGAUGUUUUCAUUAAUCAAGAACGAAAGUUAGGGAUCGAAGACGAUCAGAUACCGUCGUAGUCUUAACCAUAAACUAUGCCGACUAGGGAUCGGAUGAUGUUAAUUUUUAAUGACUCAUUCGGCGCCUUAAC
RNAcentral lists this ribosomal RNA (520 nucleotides) under uncultured Glomus. RNAcentral's name for it is "SSU rRNA". It matches the Rfam family "Eukaryotic small subunit ribosomal RNA", at positions 569 to 1092 of the family's 1831-position model. The record is from RNAcentral. Lineage: Eukaryota; Fungi; Glomeromycota; Glomeromycetes; Glomerales; Glomeraceae.